RNAcentral lists this ribosomal RNA (168 nucleotides) under Escherichia coli. Its description in RNAcentral is "partial 16S ribosomal RNA". It matches the Rfam family "Bacterial small subunit ribosomal RNA", at positions 1 to 160 of the family's 1533-position model. The record is from RNAcentral. Lineage: Bacteria; Pseudomonadati; Pseudomonadota; Gammaproteobacteria; Enterobacterales; Enterobacteriaceae.
UUAAAUUGAAGAGUUUGAUCAUGGCUCAGAUUGAACGCUGGCGGCAGGCCUAACACAUGCAAGUCGAACGGUAACAGGAAACAGCUUGCUGUUUCGCUGACGAGUGGCGGACGGGUGAGUAAUGUCUGGGAAACUGCCUGAUGGAGGGGGAUAACUACUGGAAACGGU